Molecule: ribosomal RNA, 468 nt
Filed under: uncultured bacterium
Lineage: Bacteria
Description: partial 16S ribosomal RNA
Rfam family: Bacterial small subunit ribosomal RNA
Source: RNAcentral
GACGAACGCUGGCGGCGUGCUUAACACAUGCAAGUCGAACGGAAAGGCCCUGCUUUUGUGGGGUGCUCGAGUGGCGAACGGGUGAGUAACACGUGAGUAACCUGUCCUUGACUUUGGGAUAACUUCAGGAAACUGGGGCUAAUACCGGAUAGGAGCUCCUGCUGCUUGGUGGGGGUUGGAAAGUUUCGGCGGUUGGGGAUGGACUCGCCGCUUCUCAGCUUGGUGGUGGGGUAGGGGAUUACCAAGGCUUUGACGGGUGGCCGGGCUGAGAGGGUGACCGGCCACAUUGGGACUGAGCUGCGGCACAGACUCCUACGGUAGGCAGGGGUGGAGAGUAGUACACUAUGGGCGGAGGGCUAGUGCGACGAAGCCACGUGGGGGAUGACGGCAUUCGGGUUGUAUACCGAUAUCGCCUGUGACGAAGCGUGAGUGACGGUAAUGGGUGAAGAAGCCCCGGCUAACUACGUG